RNAcentral lists this long non-coding RNA (236 nucleotides) under Lathyrus oleraceus (garden pea). Its description in RNAcentral is "Pisum sativum (pea) long non-coding RNA (PSAT_LNC003402)". Lineage: Eukaryota; Viridiplantae; Streptophyta; Magnoliopsida; Fabales; Fabaceae. The record is from RNAcentral.
GAAUUUGGAUUUUUGAGAAUUAGGGAUUCUGAAAUUUGUGUUUUGGAUUGAUUUGAAAUGAUUAUUGAAAAAUGGUAACCGUUUACUUGAACCGGUUUUUAAUAAUGGUUACCGUUUUUUUUUUAAUUUGAUAAAUGGAUAACCAAUUUCAAAAUAUAAUUUUGGGUUUGGUUUUAAAGUUUGGAUUAAUUUGGAUAGGAAUUUGGUUCAUGGUUAUUGGUUAUUUUGCACACCCC